UACCAGCACCCCAAGUGGUCGGGACGAUUAUUGGGCCUAAAGCAUCCGUAGCCGGUUCUACAAGUCUUCCGUUAAAUCCACCUGCUUAACAGAUGGGCUGCGGAGGAUACUAUAAGACUAGGAGGCAGGAGAGGCAAGCGGUACUCAGUGGGUAGGGGUAAAAUCCGUUGAUCCAUUGAAGACCACCAGUGGCGAAGGCGGCUUGCCAGAAUGCGCUCGACGGUGAGGGAUGAAAGCUGGGGGAGCAAACCGG
This 253-nucleotide ribosomal RNA is filed under the name uncultured bacterium. RNAcentral's name for it is "partial 16S ribosomal RNA". It matches the Rfam family "Archaeal small subunit ribosomal RNA", at positions 474 to 727 of the family's 1478-position model. The record is from RNAcentral.